AGUUUUUUAAUUUAAUAAAAGAUAAAAUCUGCCCAAUGAAAGUUUAAAUUUUAAAGGCCGCAGUAUAUUGACUGUGCAAAGGUAGCAUAAUCAAUAGAUUUUUAAUUGAAAUCUAGAAUGAAUGAUUAAAUGAAAUAAAAUCUUUUUUAAUUUUAAUAUUUGAAUUUUAUAUAUUAGUAAAAAAUCUAAUUUAAUAAAAAGGGACGAGAAGACCCUAUAGAAUUUUAUAAAUUUUAUUAAUUUAUUAUUUUUAUUUAUUUAAUUAUUUAAAGGUUUAUUUUGUUGGGGAGAUAUUUAAAUUUUUAAAACUUUAAUUUUAAAAAAAUUCAUUUUAUAAUUGUUUAUAUGAUCUUUCUUUAUGGAUUAAAAAAUUAAAUUACCUUAGGGAUAACAGCAUAAUAAUUUUUAUAAGUUCUUAUUAUAAAAAUAGUUUAUGACCUCGAUGUUGAAUUAAAAUAAUUAUUAUAUGAAGGGAUAUAAUAAAUAAGUCUG
This 492-nucleotide ribosomal RNA is filed under the name Asiodiplosis admirabilis. RNAcentral's name for it is "partial large subunit ribosomal RNA". The record is from RNAcentral. Lineage: Eukaryota; Metazoa; Arthropoda; Insecta; Diptera; Cecidomyiidae.